This 821-nucleotide long non-coding RNA is filed under the name Homo sapiens (human). Its description in RNAcentral is "HSALNT0100070". The record is from RNAcentral. Lineage: Eukaryota; Metazoa; Chordata; Mammalia; Primates; Hominidae.
GUGGUUUUUUGUGUAUGUGUUGGGUUUAUGAGCUGUAACAAUUAUCUGGAAGGUGUGCAGAUUUGUUCUCGGGGUUUGUGAGGCUGGGAACCCAACGAUGGAAGUAAAUAAUUCCAGUAGGCGUAGCUUUAAGAGGUGUAACACUGAUUGUGAAGGCCUACAGCUUUGUUCCUUCAAGCUGCGAAACCACUAAACUCAACAGAAAGAAGCUGUGGGAUGCGCCUGGACACCAGAAAAAACAAACUCCCCCUGUGCCUCUUUUAAAAACUGUAAUGCUCACCUGUAGGGUCUGGCUGAAUGCUUGGGGUCAGAGCAACAAGACACCAAUUCUGGACACAGUGGGACCUUAGAAAACACUUUAACUCAGGGUGAACAUGAGAUGCUGGAGGGUGACUCCGACCUUGUAAGUGAAUGAUCUCUGAGCUGGUGCUUCAGCCAUUCUCUCACUGGGUGUCAGCUGUUGGGUGUUGCAGAGCAUGUGAUGUGGCUGUGGAUCCCAUGGACCUAGCGCACUCCCAUGUGGGAGCGCUGGGAUAAUGGCGCUUUCUGAUUCUCUGGACAGGAACAAACACACUUGGAAUAUGCUUCUAUUCCUAAGAAGUUGGCUGCAUAGGAGCACAACAUCACCAGCUUACCACGUAUUGGUCAUUCUCUUUGAGGAGCAGGGCCAUACUGACGGCUUACAUGUGCGCUCUGGUGGAAGUAGGAUGUUUGGUGGCAGCAGGAGCAAAAUCAACUCUGUGACAGCAAAGCUGGAGAGAGAGAGGAGCAUUGAGGUUUUGAGACAUGUAUAACCAGUGAAACCAUCAUUACAAUCCAGA